This 925-nucleotide ribosomal RNA is filed under the name uncultured bacterium. RNAcentral describes it as "bacterial SSU rRNA". It matches the Rfam family "Bacterial small subunit ribosomal RNA", at positions 1 to 916 of the family's 1533-position model. RNAcentral also lists the same sequence under 1 other name. The record is from RNAcentral.
UGGAUCCAGACUUUGAUCAUGGCUCAGGAUGAACGCUAGCUACAGGCUUAACACAUGCAAGUCGAGGGGAAACGACAUCGAAAGCUUGCUUUUGAUGGGCGUCGACCGGCGCACGGGUGAGUAACGCGUAUCCAACCUGCCCACCACUUGGAGAUAACCUUGCGAAAGUAAGACUAAUACCCAAUGAUAUCUCUAGAAGACAUCUGAAGGAGAUUAAAGAUUUAUCGGUGAUGGAUGGGGAUGCGUCUGAUUAGCUUGUUGGCGGGGUAACGGCCCACCAAGGCUACGAUCAGUAGGGGUUCUGAGAGGAAGGUCCCCCACAUUGGAACUGAGACACGGUCCAAACUCCUACGGGAGGCAGCAGUGAGGAAUAUUGGUCAAUGGGCGAGAGCCUGAACCAGCCAAGUAGCGUGCAGGAUGACGGCCCUAUGGGUUGUAAACUGCUUUUAUAAGGGAAUAAAGUGAGCCUCGUGAGGCUUUUUGCAUGUACCUUAUGAAUAAGGACCGGCUAAUUCCGUGCCAGCAGCCGCGGUAAUACGGAAGGUCCGGGCGUUAUCCGGAUUUAUUGGGUUUAAAGGGAGCGUAGGCCGGAGAUUAAGCGUGUUGUGAAAUGUAGAUGCUCAACAUCUGCACUGCAGCGCGAACUGUUUUCCUUGAGUACGCACAAAGUGGGCGGAAUUCGUGGUGUAGCGGUGAAAUGCUUAGAUAUCACGAAGAACUCCGAUUGCGAAGGCAGCUCACUGGAGCGCAACUGACGCUGAAGCUCGAAAGUGCGGGUAUCGAACAGGAUUAGAUACCCUGGUAGUCCGCACGGUAAACGAUGGAUGCCCGCUGUUGGUCUGAAUAGGCCAGCGGCCAAGCGAAAGCAUUAAGCAUCCCACCUGGGGAGUACGCCGGCAACGGUGCAACUCAAAUGAAUUGACGG